UUUUUUCCUUUGUAGUUUUUGGAGUAGGACUGGGAACAGACUCUUUAAACACUUUCGAGCAUCUCUAAUCAUUCUUCGAGAAAUUUUCAGUUUGCCAAGAGUAUGCCCGGGUACCAAGCGUCAUAAUACAAUUGAUUAUAAACUUUUUUAUUUUCAAAUUUUCAACCAGUUAUAUUAUGUUACUUGAUGCACCGUGCAUCAUCCAUUUUCUCUUCACACUAAAAAUCUCUCUCAUCCUUCCUAUUUUGAAGUUAAAUUAAAUUUUAGCUAAACUUCAACUGGACUUUCUGGUUGUCUGUUAAUUAAAAAAGGAUACUUUGGACUUUCUAGUUGUAUGCUAAUUAAAAAGAGUUUGUUUAGAUUCAGUCCAAAACUCUAAUUUGUUUUCUAAAUUGAGUCUAAUUGUAACAUACCUAAAUGAUAUUCAGUCCAAAACUCUAAUUUGUUUUCUAAAUUGAGUCUAAUUGUAACAUACCUAAAUGAUAAUAAGACUAAAAAUAUUUCAACCGAAAUAUAUUUAAGAUAGUAUUGAAUAGGGGUGUGCUAUCCACACACUCCUGUUUACUUCUCACACAUACCUUGUUAAUUUAUGUCCAUUGAUCUUCUUCAAUUCAUCCGAUCCGACGACAAAAAACAAAAAAAAAAUGUGGGAGAAGUAAAAAUGAGUGUGUGGAUAUCACACCCCUAUUGAAUAUAACUAAUUAUAAAGGGGUAGAUUAUAAGCAAAAAAUAUCUAUAAUAUAGGCAACUGUUGUAAACUUUUCUAGUUUAUGUGUGAUUGUGUAAAUCCUAAAUUAGAUUUGAUUAUGGUUAUUUUUUCCUAUUAGGACUUGUAUUCCUUGGAGGAGAA
This 850-nucleotide long non-coding RNA is filed under the name Malus domestica (apple). Its description in RNAcentral is "long non-coding RNA (MDOM_LNC009854)". The record is from RNAcentral. Lineage: Eukaryota; Viridiplantae; Streptophyta; Magnoliopsida; Rosales; Rosaceae.